GCGCAUAGUGGCUUAGUGGUUAGCACGUUCGUCUCACACUUUAAGGGUUGAGGGUUUGAUUUCCGCCAUGUGUG
Non-coding RNA from Ameiurus melas (black bullhead), 74 nucleotides. The record is from the annotation of a GenBank genome assembly. Lineage: Eukaryota; Metazoa; Chordata; Actinopteri; Siluriformes; Ictaluridae.